This 719-nucleotide ribosomal RNA is filed under the name Bacillus subtilis. RNAcentral describes it as "bacterial SSU rRNA". It matches the Rfam family "Bacterial small subunit ribosomal RNA", at positions 54 to 755 of the family's 1533-position model. The record is from RNAcentral. Lineage: Bacteria; Bacillati; Bacillota; Bacilli; Caryophanales; Bacillaceae.
CAUGCAAGUCGAGCGGACAGAUGGGAGCUUGCUCCCUGAUGUUAGCGGCGGACGGGUGAGUAACACGUGGGUAACCUGCCUGUAAGACUGGGAUAACUCCGGGAAACCGGGGCUAAUACCGGAUGGUUGUUUGAACCGCAUGGUUCAAACAUAAAAGGUGGCUUCGGCUACCACUUACAGAUGGACCCGCGGCGCAUUAGCUAGUUGGUGAGGUAACGGCUCACCAAGGCAACGAUGCGUAGCCGACCUGAGAGGGUGAUCGGCCACACUGGGACUGAGACACGGCCCAGACUCCUACGGGAGGCAGCAGUAGGGAAUCUUCCGCAAUGGACGAAAGUCUGACGGAGCAACGCCGCGUGAGUGAUGAAGGUUUUCGGAUCGUAAAGCUCUGUUGUUAGGGAAGAACAAGUACCGUUCGAAUAGGGCGGUACCUUGACGGUACCUAACCAGAAAGCCACGGCUAACUACGUGCCAGCAGCCGCGGUAAUACGUAGGUGGCAAGCGUUGUCCGGAAUUAUUGGGCGUAAAGGGCUCGCAGGCGGUUUCUUAAGUCUGAUGUGAAAGCCCCCGGCUCAACCGGGGAGGGUCAUUGGAAACUGGGGAACUUGAGUGCAGAAGAGGAGAGUGGAAUUCCACGUGUAGCGGUGAAAUGCGUAGAGAUGUGGAGGAACACCAGUGGCGAAGGCGACUCUCUGGUCUGUAACUGACGCUGAGGAGCG